UGGAAGACAGGGCAAAAAAACAAAGAAUGACUAUGUACCUGCGCUCACUCGGCGGAGCAAACCUGAAUGCUGCCGUUAGGCGAAUGCUCCGCCGAGUGGGCAACAAUGACAUCUGGUCAACUUUUAGCUUCAAGGGAAGGCUGGGCAAGCGCCCUUUCAGUAAGCUAAGGCUAUGUGAAGCAAUGAUUGGAGCAUGCCAGAAAUUAUUGAAAGUGAAGGUGGACGAGGUAGAGGAUAAUGAAAG
Alosa sapidissima (American shad) is the source of this 244-nucleotide long non-coding RNA. RefSeq lists it as uncharacterized. NCBI's taxonomy places the organism in Eukaryota, Metazoa, Chordata, Actinopteri, Clupeiformes, Clupeidae. The transcript is spliced from 3 exons. The record is from RefSeq and is a predicted model, not a curated record.